CCUUGGAGGAACAUCGGAAGCGCUGAAGACGUCCUAGAGUUGCGACGUCUAACGAAGAAGAUGACGAUACCCCAGUUCCCCUACUGGUACUGCUACAGAAG
Long non-coding RNA from Ixodes scapularis (black-legged tick), 101 nucleotides. RefSeq lists it as uncharacterized. Lineage: Eukaryota; Metazoa; Arthropoda; Arachnida; Ixodida; Ixodidae. The record is from RefSeq and is a predicted model, not a curated record. The transcript has 3 exons.